AGUGGCGGACGGGUGAGUAACACGUAAGAAUUUGCCUUUAGGAGGGGGACAACAACUGGAAACGGUUGCUAAUACCCCAUAUGCUUUCGAGUGAAAUGGAUUUCCGCCUAAAGAGAAGCUUGCGGCUGAUUAGCUUGUUGGUGAGGUAAUGGCUCACCAAGGCGACGAUCAGCAUCUGGUUUGAGAGGACGAUCAGACACACUGGAACUGAGACACGGUCCAGACUCCUACGGGAGGCAGCAGUGGGGAAUUUUCCGCAAUGGGCGAAAGCCUGACGGAGCAAUACCGCGUGAGGGAUGAAGGCCUAUGGGUUGUAAACCUCUUUUUUCAGGGAGGAAUAAAUGACGUGUACCUGAAGAAUAAGCAUCGGCUAACUCCGUGCCAGCAGCCGCGGUAAGACGGGGGAUGCAAGUGUUAUCCGGAAUCACUGGGCGUAAAGCGUCUGUAGGUGGUUAAAUAAGUCAACUGUUAAAUCUUGAGGCUCAACCUCAAAAUCGCAGUCGAAACUGUUUGACUAGAGUAUAGUAGGGGUAAAGGGAAUUUCCAGUGGAGCGGUGAAAUGCGUAGAUAUUGGAAAGAACACCGAUGGCGAAGGCACUUUACUGGGCUAUUACUAACACUGAGAGACGAAAGCUAGGGUAGCAAAUGGGAUUAGAUACCCCAGUAGUCCUAGCUGUAAACAAUGGAUACUAGAUGUUGA
RNAcentral lists this ribosomal RNA (700 nucleotides) under uncultured bacterium. Its description in RNAcentral is "bacterial SSU rRNA". It matches the Rfam family "Bacterial small subunit ribosomal RNA", at positions 94 to 826 of the family's 1533-position model. The record is from RNAcentral.